UAAAAAGCGUUUGAGCUUAAUCACUGACUUACACUAAUUCCACUAAUUUACCAAAACCCUUAUCCAAUACUGAAUGAUUCUAUAAUUAUAUAGAAAACUAUAUGCUAGAACUAGUAAUAAGAAGAAGACCUUCUCCAAAAUAUAACUAUAAGCCGAAAUGAACAACUCACCGGCACUUAACGUAACUGAGCCUAUAGUAAUAACACUACAAGAAAACCCUACUUAAACAUGCGUUAACCUUACACAAGUAUAUUUCUGGAAAGAUUUAAAGAGAAGGAAGGAACUAGGCAAACUACUAACCCCGCCUGUUUACCAAAAACAUCGCCUCUUGAAAAAAUAUAAGAGGUCCAGCCUGCCCAGUGACCGAAUAAGUUAAAUGGCCGCGGUAUCCUAACCGUGCGAAGGUAGCAUAAUCACUCGUUCUUUAAAUGAGGACUAGUAUGAACGGCAUCACGAGGGUUAUACUGUCUCCCCUCUCUAAUCAAUGAAACUGACCUCCCCGUGAAGAGGCGGGGAUAACAUUAUAAGACGAGAAGACCCCAUGGAGCUUAAAACCCAGCACCAAUUACCCAAUUAUACUUCAUAUUACCUGGUAAUUUUAUGGCUUCUGGUUUUCGGUUGGGGUGACCGCGGAGUAAAACAAAACCUCCACGAUGAAUGGACUAACACUCCUAAUUAUAGAGCUACAACUCAAAAAAUCAAAAAAUUGACAUAAAUUGAUCCAAUAAAUUUUGAUCAACGAACCAAGUUACCCUGGGGAUAACAGCGCAAUCCACUUAAAGAGCUCCUAUCAAUAAGUGGGCUUACGACCUCGAUGUUGGAUCAGGGUAUCCCAGUGGUGCAACCGCUACUAAAGGUUUGUUUGUUCAACAAUUAAAA
This 879-nucleotide ribosomal RNA is filed under the name Kaloula sp. Samar & Leyte. RNAcentral describes it as "partial 16S ribosomal RNA". It matches the Rfam family "Bacterial large subunit ribosomal RNA", at positions 1480 to 2593 of the family's 2925-position model. Lineage: Eukaryota; Metazoa; Chordata; Amphibia; Anura; Microhylidae. The record is from RNAcentral.